AGGUGAUCCAACCGCAGGUUCCCCUACGGUUACCUUGUUACGACUUCACCCCAGUCAUGAAUCACAAAGUGGUAAGCGCCCUCCCGAAGGUUAAGCUACCUACUUCUUUUGCAACCCACUCCCAUGGUGUGACGGGCGGUGUGUACAAGGCCCGGGAACGUAUUCACCGUGGCAUUCUGAUCCACGAUUACUAGCGAUUCCGACUUCAUGGAGUCGAGUUGCAGACUCCAAUCCGGACUACGACGCACUUUAUGAGGUCCGCUUGCUCUCGCGAGGUCGCUUCUCUUUGUAUGCGCCAUUGUAGCACGUGUGUAGCCCUGGUCGUAAGGGCCAUGAUGACUUGACGUCAUCCCCACCUUCCUCCAGUUUAUCACUGGCAGUCUCCUUUGAGUUCCCGGCCUCGACCGCUGGCAACAAAGGAUAAGGGUUGCGCUCGUUGCGGGACUUAACCCAACAUUUCACAACACGAGCUGACGACAGCCAUGCAGCACCUGUCUCACGGUUCCCGAAGGCACAUUCUCAUCUCUGAAAACUUCCGUGGAUGUCAAGACCAGGUAAGGUUCUUCGCGUUGCAUCGAAUUAAACCACAUGCUCCACCGCUUGUGCGGGCCCCCGUCAAUUCAUUUGAGUUUUAACCUUGCGGCCGUACUCCCCAGGCGGUCGACUUAACGCGUUAGCUCCGGAAGCCACGCCUCAAGGGCACAACCUCCAAGUCGACAUCGUUUACGGCGUGGACUACCAGGGUAUCUAAUCCUGUUUGCUCCCCACGCUUUCGCACCUGAGCGUCAGUCUUCGUCCAGGGGGCCGCCUUCGCCACCGGUAUUCCUCCAGAUCUCUACGCAUUUCACCGCUACACCUGGAGUUCUACCCCCCUCUACGAGACUCAAGCUUGCCAGUAUCAGAUGCAGUUCCCAGGUUGAGCCCGGGGAUUUCACAUCUGACUUAACAAACCGCCUGCGUGCGCUUUACGCCCAGUAAUUCCGAUUAACGCUUGCACCCUCCGUAUUACCGCGGCUGCUGGCACGGAGUUAGCCGGUGCUUCUUCUGCGGGUAACGUCAAUGAGCAAAGGUAUUAACUUUACUCCCUUCCUCCCCGCUGAAAGUACUUUACAACCCGAAGGCCUUCUUCAUACACGCGGCAUGGCUGCAUCAGGCUUGCGCCCAUUGUGCAAUAUUCCCCACUGCUGCCUCCCGUAGGAGUCUGGACCGUGUCUCAGUUCCAGUGUGGCUGGUCAUCCUCUCAGACCAGCUAGGGAUCGUCGCCUUGGUGAGCCGUUACCCCACCAACAAGCUAAUCCCAUCUGGGCACAUCCGAUGGCAAGAGGCCCGAGGGUCCCCCUCUUUGGUCUUGCGACGUUAUGCGGUAUUAGCUACCGUUUCCAGUAGUUAUCCCCCUCCAUCAGGCAGUUUCCCAGACAUUACUCACCCGUCCGCCACUCGUCAGCGAAACAGCAAGCUGUUUCCUGUUACCGUUCGACUUGCAUGUGUUAGGCCUGCCGCCAGCGUUCAAUCUGAGCCAUGAUCAAACUCU
RNAcentral lists this ribosomal RNA (1531 nucleotides) under Escherichia coli DEC6E. RNAcentral's name for it is "16S ribosomal RNA". The record is from RNAcentral. Lineage: Bacteria; Pseudomonadati; Pseudomonadota; Gammaproteobacteria; Enterobacterales; Enterobacteriaceae.